AGAGUUUGAUCCUGGCUCAGGACGAACGUUGGCGGCGUGCCUAAUACAUGCAAGUCGAGCGAGCUUGCCUAGAUGAUUUUAGUGCUUGCACUAAAUGAAACUAGAUACAAGCGAGCGGCGGACGGGUGAGUAACGCGUGGGUAACCUGCCUCAUACAGGGGGAUAACAGUUAGAAAUGACUGCUAAUACCGCAUAACCGCACAGGACCGCAUGGUCCGGUGUGAAAAACUCCGGUGGUAUGAGAUGGACCCGCAUCUGAUUAGCUGGUUGGUGAGGUAACGGCCCACCAAGGCGACGAUCAUUAUCCGGCCUGAAAGGGUGAACGGCCACAUUGGGACUGAGACACAGACCAAACUCCUACUGGAGGCAGCAGUGGGGAAUAUUGCACAAUGGGGGAAACCCUGAUGCAGUGACACCGCGUGAAGGAAGAAGUAUUUCGGUAUGUAAACUUCUAUCAGCAGGGAAGAAAAUGACGGUACCUGACUAAGAAGCCCCGGCUAAUUACGUGCCAGCAGCCGCGGUAAUACGUAGGGGGCAAGCGUUAUCCGGAUUUACUGGGUGUAAAGGGAGCGUAGGCGGUUUAGCAAUUCAGAAGUGAAACCCCGGGGUUCAACUCCGGGACUGCUUUUGAAACUGUUGAACUAGAUUGCAGGAGAGGUAAGUGGAAUUCCUAGUGUAGCGGUGAAAUGGGUAGAUAUAUGGAAGACCACCAGUGGGGAAGGGGGUUGUUUGUUCUGCAACUGACGCUUGAGGCUGGAAACCAUGGGUAGCGACCAGGAUUAGAUCCCCUGGUAGUCCAUCCCGUAAACGAGGAGUGCUAGGUGUGGGAGGGUUUCCCCCCUUCAGUGCCGGAGCUAACGCAUUAACCAUUCCGCCUGGGGAGUACGCCCGAAGGUUGAAACUCAAAGGAAUUGACGGGGGCCCGCACAAGCGGUGGAGCAUGUGGUUUAAUUCGAAGCUACGCGAAGAACCUUACCAGGUCUUGACAUCCUGCGCUAACCUUAGAGAUAAGGCGUUCCCUUCGGGGACGCAAUGACAGGUGGUGCAUGGUCGUCGUCAGCUCGUGUCGUGAGAUGUUGGGUUAAGUCCCGCAACGAGCGCAACCCUUGUUACUAGUUGCCAGCAUUAAGUUGGGCUCUCUAGUGAGACUGCCGGUGACAAACCGGAGGAAGGUGGGGACGACGUCAGAUCAUCAUGCCCCUUAUGACCUGGGCUACACACGUGCUACAAUGGACGGUACAACGAGUUGCAAACUCGCGAGAGCAAGCUAAUCUCUUAAAGCCGUUCUCAGUUCGGACUGUAGGCUGCAACUCGCCUACACGAAGUCGGAAUCGCUAGUAAUCGCGGAUCAGCAUGCCGCGGUGAAUACGUUCCCGGGCCUUGCACACACCGCCCGUCA
This 1399-nucleotide ribosomal RNA is filed under the name uncultured bacterium. RNAcentral's name for it is "bacterial SSU rRNA". It matches the Rfam family "Bacterial small subunit ribosomal RNA". The record is from RNAcentral.